ACAGACAUUAAUUUAUGAAACACCUGAAUCACGAGGCUUCGGCUAACGGGGUGAUCAAUCGAGAUGAGUGACACAAAGGAAAGCCCAGGUUGGCAGUCCAUGCUGCAAUCGAACACAAUAAGCUUCGCCGAAGGAGCGCCCGCUCGAGCUAUACACGAAGGAUCAACUCCCUCUGCGCCACCACGCCUUGAAAAAAAAGGAGGAAAAAAGGGUGAAAGCGUGUUGUACUGUGAAUCCUCUGCUCCCUCUGCUCGUCUCCUCGAUUUCGGCCUCUCUCUCGUUUUCUCACCAGAGUGGCGGCUAGGGUUACCGCAGCCGCUGCCCCAUCCCUGCUCGUAGCCUCAACCCCACAAGCACGCACAUGCAACUGCUCGAGGUGAGAAGCAACGCCUGGAUGCGGCUGCUGGAGGAGCAGCGGUGGUGGACGGGCUCAUGGCAGCAACGACUGCAGAGAGCUGCGGCGGCCGUCUGUGGAGGAGCAGCAGCGGCCGACGGCAGAUCGGCGUGUCACAGGAGCGGAUACGGCGGCAGUCAUGAGCAGGGCAGCACGACGUUCGGGCCCUCCAAGCCCACAACCACUGCAUCUUUGCCCGCGUCUACAAGCUUUUCCUGUUGUGGUGUUAUUGCAAUCCAGGAACUUGGUCGUAUGGUGUUCACUGAAAAGAAGAAUCUGCUAAAAGGUUGGAUGUGCGUUGUACGUGGACAUGAACUUGUUCCUGGGAUUCAGAAGGGAGCACAUGCCAUGGAACUUCGAGAACACGGAGAACCAUGUGUACCUCCAGGUGCGAUGUUGCUAAUUUUGUUCCCUGUUAGAAUUGGCCGCCCUAUGGGAUUCCUAUCACAUUUUCUUGAUCUGGGAUGACUAUGUGUCCUGUCCUUGUGACCGAUGCAUGCCGUAUGCUGGUUCUAUUGGGAUUCCACCAUUAGCAGAAAGAUCAAGGCGGUGGGCGGUUGCGUUACUGCUUCCCCGUCAAUCUCGGUUGUCCCCAUUGAGGGGACGAGUGGAGGCUGUUGCGGUCAUGUCAUCCAGAGUCGGUAUGUGCAGCCAUGGCCUACUCCUCCUACCCACAUGGUCUCUCGGCCGGCAGUGGUAUUUGGGUAUGUUGAUGAAUCAUGAGGGAAGCCAUGUUCGAAAUCAUUAUUGUGGAUUACGGAAGUCCUGAUGGAACUCAAGGCAUUGUAAAGCAGGUGCAGCAAGCAUACAGCAAAGAUCCUGUUGUAACUUAACAAACAUGCCGAUGUAUGAGUAUGUAUAUAUAUGUGGUCCAGAUUUAGGUUUGGUGUUCCUUCACGCCAAGACCAGCGUCGAGCUCAACAAGAUAGCCGAGAUGUGCGUACAGAUAGAAGCGGUUCUGCAGGAGAUGAGGGAGUAGCUGGUGGUCAGGACGACGAAGAUCAGCACAAUGACGGCUGCUUUGCCAUGCCAGUGCCACACUGCGGCUGCUACACGCAUAGACCGCCAUGACGCCGGCGCCACACUUCGCCUGGUCCACGUACGGAUGGUUAUGAACCGGCGUCACGAUUUGGCUGGUACAUGCAUGGAUGGCCAUGUCAUCUUGCCCCGAACCGGCUCAUCCCUGCCAUUUCCGCCGGGAUAAACGAGUUGUUGGAGGAAGAUGGGGAGAUGAGCUGUUCUACUCAUCGACAAGAAAUCACUUGGACAGAACUUCCUUUUCACAAUGAGAGGAAAAUGCUCUCAUGAGGUUGAUUGAUUUGGGGUUCUCUGAUUUCAUUAGUUAGACCAAGUAAAGUAAAUUGACUUUCUUAUCUUUAUAUGCACUAACAUGUGGUACAAGCAUAUUGGUCUGUUGUUGCCAAGGGAUCAUCAGCUUGAUCUAGCAAAUCUCAUUUCUUUUUCUAUUUGUUUCCUGUUCAUUGGACAUCUUUCUUUCCAUCUUAAUUACUUAUUGUAAAAAGAAAGAGCACAUGAAUCAACUUACAGCAGAGAAAUAAUGCUGUGGUUUGUUGUGCUACUUUGGCCAGUUUGCUUGAAAGAUUUGACAUGUCUAAUCCUGUCAUAUUCCUGUGCAUUGUCUGUCAUGGGCUCAUCAAGUUCACAUUACUUGUAUGUACAUGUUCUGCCAACAGGAUAAAAGAGAAACUGAAAGGUGCGGCCACCAACCUGGCACCACAGCAUAACGCCUCAGGCAGUGCGCCAUGGGCGCGGCCCAAAUGCUAGUUUUGAUAAUGUGUUGCUAAUUCCUGAUGCCUUCUAUGCCUAUAUUAAUAAAUUUAAGUCUCUAAUCCGUAGAGAUACAACAAAUAGUGUACAAAAUGGGUCUGCAUAGUCCUAAGGAGAAGAAGCAAAAUUGUGUAUAUGUUUUGCUCAGCAGAGCCUUUCUCUUAGAGAAGACAAGACCAAGGUCGUAGGUAGUGAGAUUAAUUCGUUGGUUUACCUGUAGAUAUCUGCUAUGUGUCUGUUGGUUGUGGCUUUAGUACUUGGGUGGGGACUAGGGACAACUUUAUCAAUUCUUUAAGCAAACUGUAUUUCUUUAUCUUUUUUCUUCUUCUAAAAAGGAAUAUAUU
Non-coding RNA from Triticum urartu, 2526 nucleotides. The record is from RefSeq and is a predicted model, not a curated record. NCBI's taxonomy places the organism in Eukaryota, Viridiplantae, Streptophyta, Magnoliopsida, Poales, Poaceae.